CAUGUAGGCGGAUUAAUAAGUUUGAAGUGAAAUCCUAUAGCUUAACUAUAGAACUGCUUUGAAAACUGUUAAUCUAGAAUGUGGGAGAGGUAGAUGGAAUUUCUGGUGUAGGGGUAAAAUCCGUAGGGAUCAGAAGGAAUACCGAUUGCGAAGGCGAUCUACUGGAACAUUAUUGACGCUGAGAUGCGAAAGCGUGGGGAGCAAACA
Molecule: ribosomal RNA, 207 nt
Filed under: uncultured bacterium
Lineage: Bacteria
Description: partial 16S ribosomal RNA
Rfam family: Bacterial small subunit ribosomal RNA
Source: RNAcentral